Molecule: transfer RNA, 77 nt
Filed under: Morchella conica CCBAS932
Lineage: Eukaryota; Fungi; Ascomycota; Pezizomycetes; Pezizales; Morchellaceae
Rfam family: tRNA
About the family: Transfer RNA (tRNA) molecules are approximately 80 nucleotides in length. Their secondary structure includes four short double-helical elements and three loops (D, anti-codon, and T loops).
Source: Rfam by way of RNAcentral
GCUCAAGUGGCCAAGUUGGUAAGGCGUCACACUCGUACGAAAUGCGAAGAUCGAGUGUUCGACUCACUUCUUGAGCA